This is a long non-coding RNA of Phyllostomus discolor (pale spear-nosed bat), 141 nucleotides long. RefSeq lists it as uncharacterized. The record is from RefSeq and is a predicted model, not a curated record. The transcript has 3 exons. NCBI's taxonomy places the organism in Eukaryota, Metazoa, Chordata, Mammalia, Chiroptera, Phyllostomidae.
AGGAAGCGGAACCUGGAAUAUAACCAGGAUGCCAACGGUCCAGUAAUGCCAGCCUUGGGACACCGAGCCUGUGACUUCCUGGUAAUAGCCAACCAGCCAGGAUUCUGUAAGGUCCUUCCCUUUACAGGCAGGACUCCCUCC